AGUGAACGCUGGCGGUAGGCCUACCCCAUGCACGUCGAACGCGUGGCGGACGGGUGAGGAAUCCCUCGGAAUCUCCUCUGUCGUGGGGGAUAACGUAGGGAAACUUACGCUAAUACCGAAUCCGCAUGAAUCAGCCGAUGUCGGAUUAGCUAGUUGGCGGGGUAAAGGCCCACCAAGGCGACGAUCCGUAGCUGGUCUGAGAGGAUGAUCAUCCACACUGGAACUGAGACAAGGUCCAGACUCCUGCGUGAGGCAGAAGUGGGGAAUAUUGGACAAUGGGCGCAAGCCUGAUCCAGCCAUACCGCGUGGGUGAAGAAGGCCUGCGGGUUGUAAAGCCCUUUUGUUGGGAAAGCGGUACCCAAAGAAUAAGCACCGGCUAACUUCGUGCCAGCAGCCGCGGUAAUAC
Molecule: ribosomal RNA, 406 nt
Filed under: uncultured bacterium
Lineage: Bacteria
Description: partial 16S ribosomal RNA
Rfam family: Bacterial small subunit ribosomal RNA
Source: RNAcentral